UGAACGCUGGCGGCGUGCCUAAUACAUGCAAGUCGAGCGAACAGAUGAGGAGCUUGCUCCUCUGACGUUAGCGGCGGACGGGUGAGUAACACGUGGAUAACCUACCUAUAAGACUGGGAUAACUUCGGGAAACCGGAGCUAAUACCGGAUAAUAUAUUGAACCGCAUGGUUCAAUAGUGAAAGACGGUUUUGCUGUCACUUAUAGAUGGAUCCGCGCCGCAUUAGCUAGUUGGUAAGGUAACGGCUUACCAAGGCGACGAUGCGUAGCCGACCUGAGAGGGUGAUCGGCCACACUGGAACUGAGACACGGUCCAGACUCCUACGGGAGGCAGCAGUAGGGAAUCUUCCGCAAUGGGCGAAAGCUUGACGGAGCAACGCCGCGUGAGUGAUGAAGGUCUUCGGAUCGUAAAACUCUGUUAUUAGGGAAGAACAAAUGUGUAAGUAACUAUGCACGUCUUGACGGUACCUAAUCAGAAAGCCACGGCUAACUACGUG
RNAcentral lists this ribosomal RNA (495 nucleotides) under uncultured bacterium. Its description in RNAcentral is "partial 16S ribosomal RNA". It matches the Rfam family "Bacterial small subunit ribosomal RNA", at positions 30 to 507 of the family's 1533-position model. The record is from RNAcentral.